CCCUUAGGUGUCCUGGGCUGCACGCGUGCUACAAUGAUACGUGCAACGAGUUAAUCCUGCUCUGAAAGGAGUGGGUAAUCUUAUGAAUGCGUAUCGUGCUUGGGAUUGACCAUUGUAAUUAUUGGUCAUGAACGAGGAAUUCCUAGUAAGCACAAGUCAUCAGCUUGUGCUGAUUACGUCCCUGCCCUUUGUACACACCGCCCGUCGCUCCUACCGAUUGAGUGUUCCGGUGAAUUAUUCGGACUGCAACAGUUAUCUGUCGCGGAAAGUCUUGUGAACCUUAACACUUAGAGGAAGGAAAAGUCGUAACA
RNAcentral lists this ribosomal RNA (311 nucleotides) under uncultured eukaryote. RNAcentral describes it as "partial 18S ribosomal RNA". It matches the Rfam family "Eukaryotic small subunit ribosomal RNA", at positions 1470 to 1796 of the family's 1831-position model. The record is from RNAcentral.